This 446-nucleotide ribosomal RNA is filed under the name uncultured bacterium. RNAcentral's name for it is "partial 16S ribosomal RNA". It matches the Rfam family "Bacterial small subunit ribosomal RNA", at positions 338 to 795 of the family's 1533-position model. The record is from RNAcentral.
CCUACGGGAGGCAGCAGACGAGAAUCAUUCACAAUGGGGGAAACCCUGAUGGUGCGACGCCGCGUGGGGGAAUGAAGGUCUUCGGAUUGUAAACCCCUGUCAUGUGGGAGCAAAUUAAAAAGAUAGUACCACAAGAGGAAGAGACGGCUAACUCUGUGCCAGCAGCCGCGGUAAUACAGAGGUCUCAAGCGUUGUUCGGAAUCACUGGGCGUAAAGCGUGCGUAGGCUGUUUCGUAAGUCGUGUGUGAAAGGCGCGGGCUCAACCCGCGGACGGCACAUGAUACUGGGAGACUAGAGUAAGGGAGGGGGAACCGGAAUUCUCGGUGUAGCAGUGAAAUGCGUAGAUAUCGAGAGGAACACUCGUGGCGAAGGCGGGUUCCUGGACAUUAACUGACGCUGAGGCACGAAGGCCAGGGGAGCGAAAGGGAUUAGAUACCCCAGUAGUC